Molecule: long non-coding RNA, 995 nt
Filed under: Androctonus crassicauda
Lineage: Eukaryota; Metazoa; Arthropoda; Arachnida; Scorpiones; Buthidae
Source: RNAcentral
CAAAUGGCCAGAGAGAUUACACAACUGCAUCAAAGCAGGAGAGAACAUCUUUGAGUGAUCAAUCUAAUAUUUUUAAUUUAUAUAAUAUCUUAAAGAAUUAGUAAAUUUAUUUUUAAAUAAAAAAAUUAAAUAAACUAUUUCAAAAAUUGUGAAAUAUAUAGAUCUAUGUAGAAGUUUUUUUAAUGCUGUUUGAUAAAAUUCUGUUUUCCUUCCAUCAUUAAAGAAUUAGGAUAAUGCCUGAUUGAUCUAGUAGGCCAAUACCGCUCUGCAUUAAGAUCAACAGUAUAAACUUCAAUACGUUUUCUAAAAAUAAACAUCUCUAUUUAUCAUUACAGUUUUUUUUUUAUAUUCCACAUGUUGACAUAUUCGAUCCAAGGUAAUCUUUUCCUUAUAUACAGUAAGAGGUGUUUUAGCAAACGCUGGAGGUGCCUCACGUCACUCAGUCUAAUUUACCAUCUGCUUCGACGUACAAAAGAUUCCUUCUUUCAGUUCGCUUCAGUCAGCCUCUUGAUAACCUCCACUUGGUCGGUGCCUGUUUACAUUGCACGACGAGCACCUCCCCUCUUACAACCGAUUCAUUGUCUGUAUUAUUCGAGGAAAAUGUGACGUCACCACUAUAACAGCAAAAAAGGAAGUAUUACUCGAAUUUCACUUGUUUUAAUAACUUACUUCCUUGAUUUAGCUGAUUUAUGAUGUAACGGCUAAAAACUGUAUUCCGACAUCUGUUAAGAAAGCGAAUGAACAAAUUUAUCAACCUAAUAUUAUUUUUAAAGCAAUUUGAAUACCGCGUAUUGUGUGACUUAAAAUAAAAAGGAAAAUUGCUUUACGGAAGCCCUAUAUAUUUUUUAUUUUUAUUUUUUAGAUAUCGCCACACGAUCUGUAAAAAAAACCCGUCCCCGAAAGCUUUCAAUUAGAAGGAGUUAAAAUAAACAAACAAGUAAAAGUAAAUAAAUAGUCGGAAAUUAUUUACCGGUGUGUGUGUGUGUGUGUGUGUG